UCUCCGUAGGUGAACCUGCGGAGGGAUCAUUACUGAGUGAGGGCCUUCGGGCUCGACCUCCAACCCUUUGUGAACACAACUUGUUGCUUCGGGGGCGACCCUGCCGUCCGCGGCUGAGCGCCCCCGGGGUCAAUCAAACACUGCAUCUUUGCGUCGGAGUUUAAGUAAAUUAAACAAAACUUUCAACAACGGAUCUCUUGGUUCUGGCAUCGAUGAAGAACGCAGC
This 226-nucleotide unclassified non-coding RNA is filed under the name uncultured fungus. RNAcentral describes it as "sequence contains ITS1, 5.8S rRNA gene". The stretch from base 178 to 226 matches the Rfam family "5.8S ribosomal RNA", at positions 1 to 49 of the family's 154-position model. The record is from RNAcentral. Lineage: Eukaryota; Fungi.